AUUGAACGCUGGCGGCAGGCCUAACACAUGCAAGUCGAGCGGAUGAAGGGAGCUUGCUCCUGGAUUCAGCGGCGGACGGGUGAGUAAUGCCUAGGAAUCUGCCUGGUAGUGGGGGAUAACGUCCGGAAACGGGCGCUAAUACCGCAUACGCCCUGAGGGAGAAAGGGGGGGAUCUUCGGACCUCACGCUCUCAGAUGAGCCUAGGUCGGAUUAGCUAGUUGGUGGGGUAAAGGCCUACCAAGGCGACGAUCCGUAACUGGUCUGAGAGGAUGAUCAGUCACACUGGAACUGAGACACGGUCCAGACUCCUACGGGAGGCAGCAGUGGGGAAUAUUGGACAAUGGGCGAAAGCCUGAUCCAGCCAUGCCGCGUGUGUGAAGAAGGUCUUCGGAUUGUAAAGCACUUUUAGUUGGGAGGAAGGGCAGUAAGUUAAUACCUUGCUGUUUUGACGUUACCAACAGAAUAAGCACCGGCUAACUUCGUG
Molecule: ribosomal RNA, 484 nt
Filed under: uncultured bacterium
Lineage: Bacteria
Description: partial 16S ribosomal RNA
Rfam family: Bacterial small subunit ribosomal RNA
Source: RNAcentral